CCUCCUGCUUGUCUCCAUCUUUAGCAUCUUCUCCAUCAAUACCUUCUUCUUUAUCUUUCUCUCCAUCAUCUCCUUAUAUUGUAUUACCAUCUUUAUCAUCAUUUAUAUCCACAACUUCUUUCUCCACCUCAUUUUCUUCCACCAUAAUCUCAUCUUCUUGAGGUGUAUUUUCUAUUAAAUUUGAGUUGUCCAUUCUGCCCAAACAAACAUAAAAUCACA
RNAcentral lists this long non-coding RNA (219 nucleotides) under Salvia miltiorrhiza (redroot sage). RNAcentral describes it as "long non-coding RNA (SMIL_LNC004492)". Lineage: Eukaryota; Viridiplantae; Streptophyta; Magnoliopsida; Lamiales; Lamiaceae. The record is from RNAcentral.